UGGGGAAUCUUGCACAAUGGGGGAAACCCUGAUGCAGCGACGCCGCGUGAGCGAUGAAGUCCUUCGGGGCGUAAAGCUCUUUCGACGGGAACGAUAAUGACGGUACCCGGAGAAGAAGCUGCGGCUAACUACGUGCCAGCAGCCGCGGUAAUACGUAGGCAGCAAGCGUUGUUCGGAGUUACUGGGCGUAAAGAGUAUGUAGGCGGUCUUCUAAGUUUGGUGUGAAAUCUCCCGGCUCAACUGGGAGGGUGCGCCGAAAACUGGGAGGCUUGAGCGUGGGAGAGGAAAGCGGAAUUCCUGGUGUAGCGGUGAAAUGCGUAGAUAUCAGGAGGAACACCCGCGGUGUAGACGGCUUUCUGGACCACGGCUGACGCUGAGAUACGAAAGCGUGGGUAGCAAACA
RNAcentral lists this ribosomal RNA (402 nucleotides) under uncultured prokaryote. RNAcentral's name for it is "bacterial SSU rRNA". It matches the Rfam family "Bacterial small subunit ribosomal RNA", at positions 355 to 774 of the family's 1533-position model. The record is from RNAcentral.